CGGCUGAGAAACCUCCUCUGCCAGAUCCUGACCUGAGCCAGGAGGCGGCCAGGAAACUGGAUUUUGGGACUGGGAUUUCAGAGAGGAAGCUGGAGAGCUGCAGGGUGGUCAUCUGUCACUUUAUUUUGCCCGUCUUGUAGCAUGUGGGUCUUUCGCAGCAGGAAGUGUGUUUUACAACCAGAGCCCCCGCCCUCCUGCAGCGCAGGCGCAGCUGGCUGGGCUCCUGCUUCCCACUCUCCACCUCAUCCAUAUUUGUCCUCGUCCCUGCCAGUCUCGAAAAGGCACUCUGUCACGUGUACACAGGAAAGGGCCCUGACAAGAGGAUGGGACUGCAGUUGUGGCUGCCAGAGUCUUGCUUUGUCGCCCAGGUUGGAGUGCAGUGGCACGAUCUCGGCUCAGUGCAACCUCCGCCUCCUGAGUUCAAGUGAUUCUCCUGCCUCAGCCUCCCUAGUAGCUGGGAUUACAGGACAAGGAGAGGGACAAAUUCCUUCUUGGCAUCCUUAUGGCCCUGUGACCUGCUAAUGAAUGCUGACUCUGAGUUGCUACUAGAAUUUGGUUUCCUUGUGGCUUCCCAGGAAUUGUGAGCCAUGUUGGAUAAGGACCUGCAAGGGAAGAAUGAGGAAGCCUGGGACAGUGCAGGAGGGGAGAGCACUGGUGGUAGAGAGGAGUGAUGACAAGGGUCUCCGCCAAAAGGGAAAUGGAGGGGUUAAAGAAGCUGCUGGGGAGGGUUAAAAACAAUGUGUUCUCACUCGUAGGUGGGAAUUGAACAAUGAGAACACUUGGACACAGGAAGGGGAACAUCACACACUGGGGCCUGUCGUGGGGUGUGGGGAGGGAGGAGGGAUAGCAUUAGGAGAUAUACCUAAUGUAAAUGAUGAGUUAAUGGGUGCAGCACACCAACAUGGCACAUGUAUACCUAUGUAACAAACCUGCACAUUGUGUACAUGUACCCUAGAACUUAAAGUAUAAUUAAAAAACAAAACAAAACAAAACAAAAACAAUGAGGUGCUAUUGUUUUAGUGGUGAGUAUCCGGAGACCUGGGAGUUCUAUUUACCAGGUAUAACCUGGGCUCAAAAUUCCAGGCUGACUUCAGGCAUGUCCUCAUCUCAUAGAUGCCAGCACUAAGGCCCAGAGAGGGCCGAGCUCAUUCAGCCCACCCAUCUUCUCACCCCUGACUGCAUUUCCCGGGGGUCCUUCUGCAGCCAGGUGCUGCUGUGGUACUUUGGGAUCUAUUGGCUGAGCUCCCAGAGAAGGGUCAUGGAUUGGGCUAGUUUGGAACAAGUGAAGGGACUGAAGAUGGGCUCAGUAUGGGGCGAAGACCUUCAGGAAGGGUCUGCAGAGUGAGUAGGGGGGUUUUGACUAGGAAAAGUUCCAACCCUGCCGGGGCCGCUGUCAAGAGAAAAGCAUCUAUUACAGUUACAUUUUUAAGUUAAGUAGACUGAAGAAUAUUUCUUGUGUAUUAAAGACGUUCCUUUUUGGUUGAUUUGCAAUGGAAAAGCUUUUGUUUUCUUUUUUUUUUUGGAAACAGGGUCUCACUCUGCUCACUCUGUCUCCCAAGCUGGAGUGCAGUGGUACAGUCACGGCUCACUGCAGCCUCCACUUCCUGGACUCAAGUGAUCUUCUCACUUCAGCCUUCUGAGUAGCUGGGACUACAGCCCCCUCUGCAGCUCUUCAUGGGGGUCCACUCAAGUCAGAAGCCACAUUUGGGUGUGAUUCAGAGAGCUGUUUAUGCAAAACCAGCUUUGUCACCAUCAGGCAAGGCACCUGAAUUCCCACCGCAGAGAGUGUUGUGGCCGUGAGGACUUUUCUGUCACCAGCCAUUUCCAGGUAGACCCAGUGUAAUCACAAGCAUCCUUGUAAGUGGCAAAGAGGCAGAGGAGACAGCGCCAGAGAGGCAGCUGCAUGAGAAGGAUCAAGAUGUUGCUGACUUUGAAGUUGGAAGAAGAAGGCCAUGAGCCUCAGUAUGUGGGCGGCUUCUAGAAGCUGGAAGGGGCAAGGAGAUGGAUUUGACCCUUCAGCCUCCAGGGGCAGCUGUACCUGCCAUCACUGAUUGUAGCCUGGUGAGGCCUGUUUUAGACUUCUGACCUGUAGAGCUGUAACAUAAUACAUUUGGGUUGUUUUCAACCACUAAGUUUGUGGUAAUUUGUUGUAGCAGCUGUAGAAAAUGAAUACAUAUGAAUCCUCUGGCAUUUGUUUGAGAUUUGCUCUAUGGCCUAGUAUGUGGUUGUAAAUGUUCCAUCUGUGCCUGAAAAAAUGUAUAUUUCUAAUUCAGUAGUCUCUGCUUUUUUUUUUUAUUUUGUACCCCAUCAAUAAAAUGAUUUUCAGCAUGUAUCCCCAAAUAAACAAUAUUUUAUUUAUUGAUUGAUUGAUAAACAGACAUGUUUAAUGAUAGCUUGCUUUUCACAGAGGUGACUUCGGAGACUUCUAAUCUAUAAUCCAGGAGUAUAUAACCAUGCAGCACAGACCAAUUAGUCACAUGUAAAAUAAACUAGAUUCUUACCAC
RNAcentral lists this long non-coding RNA (2504 nucleotides) under Homo sapiens (human). RNAcentral describes it as "PREDICTED lncRNA (TCONS_00059642)". The record is from RNAcentral. Lineage: Eukaryota; Metazoa; Chordata; Mammalia; Primates; Hominidae.